CAUCUGAGUUUUCUCAGAGUAGGUGAACAUAUGCACACACACACGCACCGAUGUUUUUCAACUUUUUUCUUUUGGUUUUUGGUAACACGUAUUAACUUUCUUGAUGUUUGUUGAUCGUGAGCUCAAAAUAGUACGUACCCAUUUAGAAAAUAUCUGAAUAGAACCUUUGCAGACAAAUAAGUUGCGUUGACAAGCGAAAACGAAAGAAUUUUCAUCAUAAUGUCGAUCGCACAAACUGUAUUUUUUUUACUGUUCAUAAUAUGUUUGGCGGAUACACUCAGCUGGUCAAAAUAUGGACGUACAUGCAAGGAUAUUAGGUGCUUGCCAUGUGAAGUGUGUAUCAUUGUCCAAGAUGAAUGUUUGCAUUUUCAAAUAGAAGGCAGUGAAUGUGGAAAAUAUCCAGUAUGUGGGAAAUUGGUUCAAACAAAUGAUUUAACAGAACCAGAUAUACAUGUGUCCCCUAGUGUGUCCCUUUACGACCAAUGGAUGGAAGUGGCUGCAAAAUAUCGCAGAUCCAAUCUGCUCUAUUUAUCGAAACAACAGGAGGCCGCUUCAACACAUUGCACACUUUCACGCUUUUUAUUCAUCAUCAUUAGUAUUCUUAAUUUUUUCACUCAAUUUUCAUAUCGCAAUUAUCAUUAAGAUUUUUUUAUUUUGUUUAGUAUUUGAGAAUAUCGAAAAAAAUAGCUAUCGAAAGAAAUUCUUAUAAUUUCUUUGUAUUAUGCAUGUAUGAAGUGCAAAUGU
This is a long non-coding RNA of Contarinia nasturtii (swede midge), 744 nucleotides long. RefSeq lists it as uncharacterized. NCBI's taxonomy places the organism in Eukaryota, Metazoa, Arthropoda, Insecta, Diptera, Cecidomyiidae. The record is from RefSeq and is a predicted model, not a curated record. The transcript has 4 exons.